This 439-nucleotide ribosomal RNA is filed under the name uncultured bacterium. RNAcentral describes it as "partial 16S ribosomal RNA". It matches the Rfam family "Bacterial small subunit ribosomal RNA", at positions 339 to 795 of the family's 1533-position model. The record is from RNAcentral.
CUACGGGUUGCUCCAGUGGGGAAUAUUGCACAAUGGAGGAAACUCUGAUGCAGCAACGCCGCGUGGAGGAUGACACUUUUCGGAGCGUAAACUCCUUUUAUAUAGGAAGAAGAUGACGGUACUAUAUGAAUAAGCGCCGGCUAACUCCGUGCCAGCAGCCGUGGUAAUACGGAGGGCGCAAGCGUUACUCGGAAUCACUGGGCGUAAAGAGCGUGUAGGCGGAUUAAAAAGUCAGAAGUGAAAUCCUAUAGCUUAACUAUAGAACUGCUUCUGAAACUCUUAAUCUAGAAUAUGGGAGAGGUAGAUGGAAUUUCUGGUGUAGGGGUAAAAUCCGUAGAGAUCAGAAGGAAUACCGAUUGCGAAGGCGAUCUACUAGAACAUUAUUGAUGCUGAGACGCGAAAGCGUGGGGAGCAAACAGGAUUAGAUACCCCCGUAGUC